GUGAUAGCUCAGUCGGUAGAGCAUGAGACUCUUAAUCUCAGGGUUGUGGGUUUGAGUCCCACGUUGGGCA
RNAcentral lists this transfer RNA (70 nucleotides) under Podarcis lilfordi (Lilford's wall lizard). RNAcentral describes it as "tRNA.Lys". The stretch from base 5 to 62 matches the Rfam family "tRNA", at positions 8 to 63 of the family's 71-position model. From Rfam's summary of the family: Transfer RNA (tRNA) molecules are approximately 80 nucleotides in length. Their secondary structure includes four short double-helical elements and three loops (D, anti-codon, and T loops). The record is from RNAcentral. Lineage: Eukaryota; Metazoa; Chordata; Lepidosauria; Squamata; Lacertidae.